AUGCAGCAGCUUCAUGGUUUAGUCGGCUUCAUUUCAGAGGGACAGAUGUUCAUAGAGGAGAGGAAUUGGAUUCUCUGGACUUUACCUGUGAAGCAGCAGCAGAGGAGAGUCCAGAUGAGGACGCAGAUCAAAAGUCAGAGAGCCGUGUCUCUACAGUCAGAGGUUUUUGUACGACGGUUCAACCAGUUUGUAUCACUGUGGUACACGUUCGGUGGAGGAACCAGACUGGAUGUUGGACGUGAUACCCGCCCCACCCUGACAGUGCUGCCCCCCUCCAUUGUGGAGCUGCAGCAGCAGCAGGUUACCCUCCUGUGUCUGGCCAACAAGGGCUUCCCCUCAGACUGGACUCUGUCCUGGAAGCUGGACGGCAGCAGCAGCAGCAGCAGCAGCUGGGAGCAGAGCAGGAGCUCCGGGGUGCUGCAGAAUGACGGCCUCUACAGCUGGAGCAGCACCUUGAGGCUCCCUGCAGACCAGUGGAGGAAGGUGGGCUCUGUGACCUGUGAGGCCUCCCAGGGCUCCCAGUCUGCAGUCACAGAGACACUGAGGAGAGACCAGUGUUCCCAGUCCUGAGCUGAUUCAUGGGUUUUCUAAGCUUUUAUUCUGCUAUAUAUCACUUGCUUUAAAAAUCUCUGCAUUAUUUCAUCUUCAUAACCUCUGUUAUGUGUUUAAAACUCAAUUUCUGUCAAAAACAAUAAAAAUAAAAUCCUUACUCUU
This is a non-coding RNA of Gambusia affinis (western mosquitofish), 714 nucleotides long. The record is from the annotation of a RefSeq genome assembly. NCBI's taxonomy places the organism in Eukaryota, Metazoa, Chordata, Actinopteri, Cyprinodontiformes, Poeciliidae.